Molecule: ribosomal RNA, 490 nt
Filed under: uncultured bacterium
Lineage: Bacteria
Description: partial 16S ribosomal RNA
Rfam family: Bacterial small subunit ribosomal RNA
Source: RNAcentral
AUUGAACGCUGGCAGCAGGCCUAACACAUGCAAGUCGAACGGUAACAGGAAGCAGCUUGCUGCUUCGCUGACGAGUGGCGGACGGGUGAGUAAUGUCUGGGAAACUGCCUGAUGGAGGGGGAUAACUACUGGAAACGGUAGCUAAUACCGCAUAACGUCGCAAGACCAAAGAGGGGGACCUUAGGGCCUCUUGCCAUCGGAUGUGCCCAGAUGGGAUUAGCUAGUAGGUGGGGUAACGGCUCACCUAGGCGACGAUCCCUAGCUGGUCUGAGAGGAUGACCAGCCACACUGGAACUGAGACACGGUCCAGACUCCUACGGGAGGCAGCAGUGGGGAAUAUUGCACAAUGGGCGCAAGCCUGAUGCAGCCAUGCCGCGUGUAUGAAGAAGGCCUUCGGGUUGUAAAGUACUUUCAGCGGGGAGGAAGGGAGUAAAGUUAAUACCUUUGCUCAUUGACGUUACCCGCAGAAGAAGCACCGGCUAACUCCGUG